This 460-nucleotide ribosomal RNA is filed under the name uncultured bacterium. RNAcentral's name for it is "partial 16S ribosomal RNA". It matches the Rfam family "Bacterial small subunit ribosomal RNA", at positions 338 to 795 of the family's 1533-position model. The record is from RNAcentral.
CCUACGGGUGGCAGCAGUGAGGAAUAUUGGUCAAUGGACGAGAGUCUGAACCAGCCAAGUAGCGUGAAGGAUGACUGCCCUAUGGGUUGUAAACUUCUUUUAUAUGGGAAUAAAACGUUCCACGUGUGGGAUUUUGUAUGUACCAUAUGAAUAAGGAUCGGCUCACUCCGUUCCAGCAGCCGCGGUAAUACGGAGGAUCCGAGAGUUAUCCGGAUUUAUUGGGGUUAAAGGGAGCGUAGGUGGAUUGUUAAGUCAGUUGUGAAAGUUUGCGGCUCAAACGUAAAAUUGCAGUUGAAACUGGCAGUCUUGAGUACAGUAGAGGUGGGCGGAAUUCGUGGUGUAGCGGUGAAAUGCUUAGAUAUCACGAAGAACUCCGAUUGCGAAGGCAGUUCACUGGACUGCAACUGACACUGAGGCUCGAAAGUGUGGGUAUCAAACAGGAUUAGAUACCCCAGUAGUC